Molecule: ribosomal RNA, 433 nt
Filed under: uncultured bacterium
Lineage: Bacteria
Description: partial 16S ribosomal RNA
Rfam family: Bacterial small subunit ribosomal RNA
Source: RNAcentral
AACGAACGCUGGCGGCAUGCCUAACACAUGCAAGUCGAACGAGACCUUCGGGUCUAGUGGCGCACGGGUUCGUAACGCGUGGGAACCUGCCCUUAGGUUCGGAAUAACUCCCCGAAAGGGGUGCUAAUACCGGAUAAUGUCUUCGGACCAAAGAUUUAUCGCCUUUGGAUGGGCCCGCGUUGGAUUAGCUAGUUGGUAGGGUAAAAGCCUACCAAGGCGACGAUCCAUAGCUGGUCUGAGAGGAUGAUCAGCCACACUGGGACUGAGACACGGCCCAGACUCCUACGGGAGGCAGCAGUGGGGAAUAUUGGACAAUGGGCGAAAGCCUGAUCCAGCAAUGCCGCGUGAGUGAUGAAGGCCUUAGGGUUGUAAAGCUCUUUUAACCGGGAUGAUAAUGACAGUACCGGGAGAAUAAGCGCCGGCUAACUCCGUG